CGGGGAAUAUUGCACAAUGGGCGAAAGCCUGAUGCAGCAACGCCGCGUGAGUGAUGAAGGCCUUCGGGUUGUAAAGCUCUGUCUUUUGGGACGAUAAUGACGGUACCAAAGGAGGAAGCCACGGCUAACUACGUGCCAGCAGCCGCGGUAAUACGUAGGUGGCAAGCGUUGUCCGGAUUUACUGGGCGUAAAGGAUGCGUAGGCGGAUUUUUAAGUGAGAUGUGAAAACCCUAAGCUUAACUUGGGGACUGCAUUUCAUACUGGAAAUCUAGAGUGCGGGAGAGGAGAAUGGAAUUCCUAGUGUAGCGGUGAAAUGCGUAGAGAUUAGGAAGAACACCAGUGGCGAAGGCGAUUCUCUGGACCGUAACUGACGCUGAGGCAUGAAAGCGUGGGUAGCAAACAGGAUUAGAUACCCUGGUAGUCCACGCCGUAAACGAUGAGUACUAGGUGUAGGAGGUAUCGACCCCUUCUGUGCCGCAGUUAACACAAUAAGUACUCCGCCUGGGAAGUACGAUCGCAAGAUUAAAACUCAAAUGAAUUGACGGGGUCAUAGC
RNAcentral lists this ribosomal RNA (554 nucleotides) under uncultured bacterium. RNAcentral's name for it is "partial 16S ribosomal RNA". It matches the Rfam family "Bacterial small subunit ribosomal RNA", at positions 355 to 925 of the family's 1533-position model. The record is from RNAcentral.